RNA transcript from Lates calcarifer (barramundi perch), 7441 nucleotides. It is a transcript of the gene named NADH-ubiquinone oxidoreductase chain 5-like, with no coding region annotated. Lineage: Eukaryota; Metazoa; Chordata; Actinopteri; Centropomidae. The transcript has 2 exons. The record is from RefSeq and is a predicted model, not a curated record.
AUGGUUAAACCCCAUGGCUCACUUGCCCCGCUUCUAAAGGAUAACAGCUCAUCCGUUGGUCUUAGGAACCAAAAACUCUUGGUGCAAAUCCAAGUAGUAGCUAUGCACCCAGCUUCACUUGCAAUAACAUCAAGCUUAAUUAUUAUUUUUGCUGUCCUCGCAUACCCCAUUCUGACAACCCUUUCUCCCCUCCCUCAAAACCAAAACUGGGCACUCUCCCACGUAAAGACAGCAGUAAAACUAGCCUUCUUCAUCAGCUUACUUCCCCUAUUCCUAUUCCUAAACGAAGGCCUAGAAGUAAUUAUCACCAACUGAAACUGAAUAAAUAUUGCCACCUUUGACAUAAACAUCAGCCUUAAAUUUGACCACUACUCAAUUAUCUUUACCCCAGUCGCACUAUACGUGACCUGGUCUAUCCUGGAAUUUGCAUCAUGAUACAUACACGCAGACCCUAAUAUAAAUCGCUUCUUCAAGUACCUUUUAAUCUUCCUAAUCGCAAUAAUCAUCCUAGUUACAGCAAACAACAUAUUCCAACUCUUCAUCGGCUGAGAAGGUGUGGGAAUCAUAUCAUUUCUCCUCAUCGGCUGAUGGCACGGCCGAGCCGACGCAAACACCGCAGCUUUACAAGCAGUUCUCUACAAUCGCCUAGGAGACAUCGGACUGAUCUUCACCAUAGCAUGAAUCGCAAUAAACCUCAACUCAUGAGAAAUACAACAAAUAUUUGCCUCUGCCAAAGACAUAGACCUCACCCUCCCCCUACUAGGACUCGUCAUUGCUGCAACCGGUAAAUCCGCUCAAUUUGGACUCCAUCCAUGGCUCCCCUCCGCCAUGGAGGGUCCCACACCAGUCUCUGCCCUACUACAUUCAAGCACAAUGGUUGUGGCAGGUAUCUUCCUCUUAGUCCGAAUAAGUCCCUUAAUAGAAAACAACCAGACUGCCCUCACCACCUGUCUCUGCCUAGGCGCCCUAACUACCCUCUUCACUGCCACCUGUGCCCUUACCCAAAAUGAUAUCAAGAAAAUCGUUGCCUUCUCCACCUCUAGCCAACUAGGUCUAAUAAUAGUUACCAUUGGACUUAACCAACCACAAUUAGCCUUCCUACACAUUUGUACUCAUGCAUUCUUCAAGGCAAUACUCUUCCUAUGUUCAGGCUCAAUUAUCCACAGCUUAAAUGACGAACAAGACAUCCGAAAAAUAGGAGGCAUGCAUUGCCUCACCCCUUCACCUCUUCAUGCUUAACCAUCGGAAGCCUAGCCCUCACGGGCACCCCCUUUCUAGCCGGAUUUUUCUCCAAAGACGCCAUCAUCGAAGCACUCAACACAUCCUACCUUAACGCCUGAGCCCUUGUCUUAACCCUACUAGCAACUUCAUUCACAGCCAUCUAUAGCCUACGUGUUAUCUACUUUGUGUCAAUAGGACACCCCCGCUUUAACUCCCUCUCCCCUAUCAACGAAAACAACCCUGCGGUAAUCAACCCCAUCAAACGACUAGCGUGAGGAAGUAUCAUCGCCGGCUUGCUGAUUUCCUCCAACAUUAUUCCAACCAAAACGCCCGUCAUAUCUAUGCCUCCAAUACUAAAACUGGCCGCUCUAACAGUAACAGUCCUAGGACUUCUAAUAGCCCUAGAACUAGCAACCCUCACAAACAAACAAUUUAAACCCACUCCCACCCUAAUUCCCCACCAUUUCUCCAACAUGCUAGGGUUCUUCCCACCAAUUAUCCACCGUCUCGCCCCAAAACUAAAUCUAUUCCUAGGUCAAACCAUCGCAAGCCAGACAAUCGACCAAACUUGAUUAGAAAAAUCAGGCCCCAAAGCUCUCAUCAACCUAAAUUUGCCUUUAAUCACAACAACAAGUAACAUUCAACAAGGCCUAAUUAAAACCUACCUGGGCCUAUUCCUCCUAACUCUCACCCUCGCCCUAUUAAUCACCUACUAAACUGCCCGAAGUGCCCCCCGACUCAACCCCCGAGUCAAUUCUAACACUACAAAAAGAGUGAGAAGUAGCACCCAUCCACUAAUAAUCAACAUCCAACCCCCAGAAGAAUACAUCAACGCCACUCCCCCUGCAUCACCACGAAAUACAGAAAACUCGCCCAACUCGUCAACCGACACCCAUGAAGACUCAUAUCAAACCCCUCCAAACACCACAAAAGCUAAUACCACACCCACUAUGUACACGACCAUAUGCACUACAACAGGCCAACUCCCUCAAGCCUCAGGAUAUGGCUCAGCAGCCAAAGCUGCUGAAUAUGCAAAUACAACUAACAUCCCUCCUAGAUAAAUCAAAAACAACACCAACGACAAAAAAGGACCCCAUGUCCAACUAAAACCCCACACCCCAUACCUGCAACAACUACUAACCCCAAAGCAGCAAAGUAUGGAGAAGGGUUGGACGCAACCGCAACCAAUCCUAAGACAAAACAAAAUAAAAUUAAGUACAUAAUAAAACACAUAAUUCCUGCCAGGACUCUAACCAAGACUUAUGGUCUGAAACACCAUCGUUAUUUUUUAACUACAAGAACCUUCAUGGCCAACCUACGAAAGACCCAUCCCCUUUUUAAAAUUGCAAACGAUGCACUAGUUGAUCUUCCCACCCCCGUCAAUAUCUCAGCAUGAUGAAAUUUCGGCUCACUAUUAGGCCUAUGCCUUAUCUCCCAAAUCCUAACAGGCCUAUUCCUAGCCAUACACUACACUUCAGAUAUCGCAACAGCCUUUACAUCCGUGACACAUAUUUGUCGCGACGUCAACUAUGGAUGACUUAUUCGGAAUAUACAUGCUAAUGGCGCAUCUUUCUUCUUCAUCUGCAUCUACCUUCACAUUGGUCGGGGUCUGUACUACGGCUCCUAUCUCUACAAAGAAACUUGAAACAUUGGAGUCAUCCUCCUACUAUUAGUCAUAAUAACUGCCUUCGUUGGCUAUGUUCUCCCCUGAGGACAAAUAUCAUUCUGAGGGGCUACCGUCAUCACAAAUCUACUUUCUGCAGUCCCCUAUGUAGGAAACACCCUGGUUCAAUGAAUUUGGGGCGGUUUCUCUGUUGAUAACGCCACCCUCACCCGUUUCUUUGCCUUCCACUUUCUACUUCCAUUCGUCAUUUUAGCUGCAACUAUCAUCCACCUUCUCUUCCUGCAUGAAACCGGCUCAAACAAUCCAACAGGUCUAAACUCUGAUGCAGACAAAAUCUCUUUCCACCCAUACUUCUCAUACAAAGACCUCUUAGGAUUUGCAAUCCUCCUCCUUGCACUCACCUGCCUAGCCCUAUUCUCACCUAACCUCUUGGGAGACCCAGACAACUUUACUCCUGCAAACCCUCUAGUCACCCCUCCUCACAUCAAGCCAGAAUGAUACUUUCUGUUCGCCUACGCUAUCCUCCGCUCAAUUCCCAAUAAACUAGGCGGGGUUCUAGCACUACUAUCCUCAAUUCUUGUCCUAAUAAUCGUCCCCUUCCUCCACACAUCCAAACAACGAAGCCUAACAUUCCGCCCUCUAACACAACUAUUAUUCUGGACCCUAGUUGCAGACGUACUCAUCUUAACUUGGAUUGGAGGUAUACCUGUUGAACACCCCUUCAUCAUCAUUGGGCAAGUUGCAUCACUUCUCUAUUUCUUACUGUUCCUUGUCCUACUCCCCCUAGCAGGAUGACUAGAAAACAAAGCCCUAGGAUGAUCAUGCAUUAGUAGCUCAAUGCCAGAGCGUCGGUCUUGUAAAUCGGCGGCCGGAGGUUUGAACCCUCCCUAUUGCUUCAAAAAAAGGAGAUUUUAACUCCCACCACUAACCCCCAAAGCUAGUAUUCUUACGUUAAACUAUUUUUUGAUAUAAUUAUAUAUACAUGUAUUCACACCAUGUAUUUAUGCUAACCAAUAAAUGAGUAUAUGGUGUAAAUGCAUAUAUAUAUGUAUUAAUCAACAUUUACCUGUAAUCAAAGGACAUAUGUGCAUUCAAUGGUACUCGUAAAUGUAAUGUACAGUAACCUAUAAUUAAUAUACUUUAAACAAUAAUAUUACAUAUUAAUCAUCAGCGAUAAUAGAGCGUAGUGAGAGAUCACCAAUUAGUAGGUAUUCAGAGUGUUGACGGUUCUUGAUAGUCAAGGACAAACACAGCGUGGGGGUUACACAAAUUGAACUAUUACUGGCAUUUGGUUCCUACCUCAGGUGCAUGGAUAAGAAAGAAUUCCACUGACGUUCCUUCAUAAAUGGCAUAAGUUAAUGGUGGAUAACAUGAAUCCUCGUUACCCACCAAGCCGAGCAUUCUUUCCAGCGGGUAAGGGGUUUAUAAUUUUUUUCUUAUCAUCUCAUUUGACAUCUCAGAGUGCACGCACAGAGCAUAUAAUAUGGAAGUAGAACAUAAUUUUUUUAUGGAAGAGAAUAGUCAGUAUGAAUGGUGAAAAGGCUUGACCUGAAGAAUUACAUAAUAGGAUAUCACGAGCAUAACGUGCUAACCUUCUACUCCCAACAUAUCUAUUAAUCCACCCCGUUUUUAUUACGCAACCCCCCCCCCCCCCCCCCCAAAAACAGAGGAAGCCCCACAAUAACUUGAUUUUAAUCUAAAAAUGCACUAUUUACACUAUUUAAAAUAUUUUAAGAAGCUGAUGUAGCUUAACCAAAGCAUGACACUGAAGAUGUUAGGAUGGACCCUAGAAAGUCCCAUAAGCACAAAGGCUUGGUCCUAGCUUUAUUGUCAGCUCUAGCUAGAUUUACACAUGCAAGUAUCCGCCCCCCCGUGAGAAUGCCCAUGAUUCCCUGUUUGGGAACAAGGAGCCGGUAUCAGGCACACCUAACCCACUGAGCCCACGACACCUUGCUUUGCCACACCCUCAAGGGAACCCAGCAGUGAUAAACUUUAAGCCAUAAGUGAAAACUUGACUUAGUUAAAGCUAAUAGGGCCGGUCAAAUUCGUGCCAGCCACCGCGGUUAUACGAGAGGCCCAAGCUGACAAACCACGGCGUAAAGAGUGGUUAAGGAAACUUGAAACUAAAGUCGAACGCUCUCUUCGAGCUGUUAUACGCGUACGAGACUACGAAGCUCAGCCACGAAAGUGACUUUACAACCCCUGACCCCACGAAAGCUAAGAAACAAACUGGGAUUAGAUACCCCACUAUGCUUAGCCGUAAACAUUGAUUUUACAUUACACUUAAUAUUCCGCCCGGGAAUUACAAGCACUAGCUUAAAACCCAAAGGACUUGGCGGUGCUUAAUAUCCACCUAGAGGAGCCUGUUCUAUAACCGAUAAUCCCCGCUUAACCUCACCCCCUCUUGCCCUUACCGCCUAUAUACCACCGUCGUAAGCCUACCCUGUGAAGGCCCAAUAGUAUGCAAAACUAGUAUAGCCCCGAACGUCAGGUCAAGGUGUAGUACAUGAGAGGAGAAAGAAAUGGGCUACAUUCAUCAAUUCUAGUGAACACGAAUGAUGCACUGAAAACCUAUGCAGCUGAAGGAGGAUUUAGUAGUAAGAGAGAAACAGAGUGUCUCCCUGAAACCGGCUCUUAAGCGCGCACACACCGCCCGUCACCCUCCCCAUAGCACCCGGCUAAAACAUAAAUAAAGCACAAACGAACGCUAUUUUACGGAGAGGAAAGUCGUAACAUGGUAAGCAUACCGGAAGGUGUGCUUGGCUAAAUCAGAGUGUAGCUAAGACAGAUAAAGCAUCUCCCUUACACUGAGAAGUCACUUGUGCAAAUCAAGUCACCCUGACGCCCAUCAGCUAGCCCCACCUAUAAAAACAACAUACCACCAUAAAUAACCCCAAAACCACGCACUCCCCUAAAACAAAUCAUUUUCCAUCACCUAAGUAUGGGCGACAGAAAAGGACAUCCAUGGAGCUAUAGAAAAAGUACCGUAAGGGAACGCUGAAAUAGAGAUGAAACAGCCCAGUAAAGCCCUAAAAAGCAGAGAUUAAACCUCGUACCUUUUGCAUCAUGACUUAGCUAGCACCCCCAAGCAAAGAGCAUCUUUAGUUUGGCACCCCGAAACUAGUGUGAGCUACUCCAAGACAGCCUAUUCAAUAGGGCAAACCCGUCUCUGUGGCAAAAGAGUGGGAAGAGCUUUGAGUAGAGGUGACAGACCUACCGAACCUAGUUAUAGCUGGUUGCCUGAGAACUGGAUAGAAGUUCAGCCUCCCGGCUUCUCCAUUCAUAUACUAUUCCAAUAUGACUGCCCCCAGAUCUAAAAGAAACCCGCGAGAGUUAUUCUAAGGAGGUACAGCUCCUUUGAACCAAAAUACAAUUUUAUAAGGAGGGUAAAGAUCAUAAUCUUAACCAAGGCAGAAUGUCCUAGUGGGCCUAAAAGCAGCCACCCCUUUCAGAAAGCGUUAAAGCUCAGACAUACCUCUCCGCCCUAUAUCCCGAUAAUCUAAUCUUAACCCCCUAGCCCUAUCAGGCCGUUCCAUGCAAACAUGGAAGCGAUAAUGCUAACAUGAGUAACAAGAGGAUUUAUUUUAUCUGCGCUCCUCUCCCAGCACACGUGUACAUCGAAACGGACCAACCACCGAAACUUAACGGCCCCAAACAAAGAGGGAAUUGAAAGACAAACAUGAUAUACUAGAAAAUCAUCCAGCACGCAACCGUUAACCCCACACUGGUGUGCCAUUAAAGGAAAGACUAAAAGAAAAAGAAGGAACUCGGCAAACACAAGCCUCGCCUGUUUACCAAAAACAUCGCCUCUUGUACAACCACAUUAAAACAAAUAAGAGGUCCCGCCUGCCCAGUGACAACUGGUUCAACGGCCGCGGUAUUUUGACCGUGCAAAGGUAGCGUAAUCACUUGUCUUUUAAAUGAAGACCUGUAUGAAUGGCAUCACGAGGGCUUAGCUGUCUCCUUUUUCUAAGUCAGUGAAAUUGAUCUCCCCGUGCAGAAGCGGGGAUAAAAACAUAAGACGAGAAGACCCUAUGGAGCUUUAGACACCAGAAUAGCACAUGUUAAGACACCCUGAAUAAAGAACUGAACUUAAUGGCCCCCCUAUUCCAAUGUCUUCGGUUGGGGCGACCAUGAGGAACAAAAACCCCUCAUGUGGAAUGGGAGUACCACAACCCACACACUAUUUUUCCUAUACUCCUACAACCAAGAGCUACAACUCAAACUGACAGAAAUUCUGACCAACAAUGAUCCGGCAAUGCUGAUCAACGGACCAAGUUACCCUAGGGAUAACAGCGCAAUCCCCUUUUAGAGCCCAUAUCGACAAGGGGGUUUACGACCUCGAUGUUGGAUCAGGACAUCCUAAUGGUGCAGCCGCUAUUAAGGGUUCGUUUGUUCAACGAUUAAAGUCCUACGUGAUCUGAGUUCAGACCGGAGCAAUCCAGGUCAGUUUCUAUCUAUGCCCAUAAUUCUUUUUUAGUACGAAAGGACCGAAAAGAAAAGGCCCAUGCUAUAAGUAUGCCUUAUCCCUACCUAAUGAAAUCAACUAAACUAGGUAAAGGAACAUGCCCUCAACCCCGUCAAAGAGAAUGACAU